RNAcentral lists this ribosomal RNA (494 nucleotides) under uncultured bacterium. Its description in RNAcentral is "partial 16S ribosomal RNA". It matches the Rfam family "Bacterial small subunit ribosomal RNA", at positions 28 to 507 of the family's 1533-position model. The record is from RNAcentral.
GACGAACGCUGGCGGCGUGCUUAACACAUGCAAGUCGAACGGUGAAGCGCCUUCCUUUUUGGCGGGUGUGGAUGAGUGGCGAACGGGUGAGUAACACGUGAGUAACCUGCUUUCUUCUUCUGGAUAACCGCAUGAAAGUGUGGCUAAUACGGGAUAUUCUGUGUCUGUCGCAUGAUGGGUCUUGGAAAGAUAUUGUGUCGGAGGGGGCUGGGCUCGCGGUCUAUCAGCUUGUGGGUGGGGGGAUGGCCUACCGAGGCGGUGUCGCGUAGCCGGCCUGAGAGGGUGGACGAUCACAGAGGGACGGAGACGCGGCCCAGACUCCUGCGGGAGGCAGCGGUGAGGAAUAUUGAACAGUGGGAGGAAUCCUGCUGCAACGACGCGGCGGUGGAGAUGGACGCCGUCGUGUAGUGAACCUCUUUCGCCAGUGAAGCGGGCCUGCCUCGUUUGUGGGUGGGUUGACGGUAGCUGGAUAAGAAGCGCCGGCUAACUACGUG